Molecule: ribosomal RNA, 253 nt
Filed under: uncultured bacterium
Lineage: Bacteria
Description: partial 16S ribosomal RNA
Rfam family: Bacterial small subunit ribosomal RNA
Source: RNAcentral
UACAGAGGGUGCAAGCGUUGUUCGGAAUUACUGGGCGUAAAGCGCGUGUAGGCGGCGGCGUAAGUCGGAUGUGAAAUCCCUUGGCUUAACCAAGGAAGUGCAUCCGAUACUGCGUCGCUUGAGUGCCGGAGGGGAUGGCGGAAUUCCCGGUGUAGAGGUGAAAUGCGUAGAGAUCAUGAGGAAGACCAGUGGCGAAGGCGGGUCUCUGGACAGUUCCUGACACUGAGACACGAAGGCCAGGGGAGCAAACGGG